GUGGUCAAGCUAAUAAGGGCUCAUGGUGGAUACCUAGGCACACAGAGGCGAAGAAGGACGUGGUUACCUGCGAAAAGUUCCGGGGAGUUGGAAGCAAACAGAGAGCCGGAAAUAUCCGAAUGGGGCAACCCUGAAAACUGCCUGUUGAAUAUAUAGACAGGAAAGAGCGAACCUGGCGAAUUGAAACAUCUUAGUAGCCAGAGGAAAAGAAAUCAAAAGAGAUUCCCCGAGUAGUGGUGAGCGAAAGGGGAAGAGCCUAAACCAAGGGGUAUACCUCUUGGGGUAGUGGGACAGCAACAUCGAAUCCAGAGACUAGACGAAGCAGCUAAAUACUGCACCAGAGGGGGUGAAAGUCCUGUAGUCGAAAGUCAAAGGAUAGAAGCUGAAUCCCGAGUAGUACGGGGCACGAGAAAUCCCGUAUGAAUCAGCGAGGACCAUCUCGUAAGGCUAAAUACUACUGUGUGACCGAUAGAGAACAAGUACCGCGAGGGAAAGGUGAAAAGAACCCCGGGAGGGGAGUGAAAAAGAACAUGAAACCGUGAGCUUACAAGCAGUGGGAGUCCGAUUAAACGGAUGACCGCGUGCCUGUUGAAGAAUGAGCCGGCGACUUAUAGGUACUGGUAGGUUAAAGCGGGAAUGCUGGAGCCAAAGGGAAACCGAGUCUGAAAAGGGCG
RNAcentral lists this ribosomal RNA (674 nucleotides) under Cylindrospermopsis raciborskii C03. Its description in RNAcentral is "bacterial LSU rRNA". It matches the Rfam family "Bacterial large subunit ribosomal RNA", at positions 1 to 694 of the family's 2925-position model. Lineage: Bacteria; Bacillati; Cyanobacteriota; Cyanophyceae; Nostocales; Aphanizomenonaceae. RNAcentral also lists the same sequence under 2 other names. The record is from RNAcentral.